This is a long non-coding RNA of Scylla paramamosain (green mud crab), 363 nucleotides long. RefSeq lists it as uncharacterized. The transcript has 3 exons. The record is from RefSeq and is a predicted model, not a curated record. NCBI's taxonomy places the organism in Eukaryota, Metazoa, Arthropoda, Malacostraca, Decapoda, Portunidae.
GGUGGAGGUGAUGGACGGCGGGGACGAAAGGCGAAUGAGGAGAAGGGAAGGUGACAUACAAAAGAUAAGGGCGGCAGUGGGCGGCAAGGGGCACCGCGCUACAACACCAGGCGGUUCAAAACACUUAAUCUUCCAAAGUGCUUUGGUCAAUUUAGCUCCAGCGUGUUGAAUACGUCCACCUUUGAUGAGGACUUGCGAGGCGCCACUUUUAUCUGUCGCGGAGGGUCAAUACACGCGCAUUGAUGGGCAGCAAUGGAGAGUGAUGACGAUGAUGAUGACGAAUGAGGGGUGGGGGGAAGGAAGGUUUAGCCGUUUACUUAUUUCAUAUUUUUUUUUUGAGUUGUGUAUCUCUCUCUCUCUCUC